Molecule: ribosomal RNA, 506 nt
Filed under: uncultured Cetobacterium sp.
Lineage: Bacteria; Fusobacteriati; Fusobacteriota; Fusobacteriia; Fusobacteriales; Fusobacteriaceae
Description: bacterial SSU rRNA
Rfam family: Bacterial small subunit ribosomal RNA
Source: RNAcentral
AGAGUUUGAUCCUGGCUCAGGAUGAACGCUGACAGAAUGCUUAACACAUGCAAGUCGAUUCAAGUUACCUUCGGGUAAUGAGGAUGGCGGACGGGUGAGUAACGCGUAAGGAACUUGCCUCUUGGUCUGGGACAACUGUUGGAAACGACAGCUAAUACCGGAUAUUAUGAGAUUCUCGCAUGAGAAACUUAUGAAAGCUAUAUGCGCCAAGAGAGAGCCUUGCGUUCCAUUAGCUAGUUGGUGGGGUAAUGGCCCACCAAGGCGACGAUGGAUAGCCGGCCUGAGAGGGUGAACGGCCACAAGGGGACUGAGACACGGCCCUUACUCCUACGGGAGGCAGCAGUGGGGAAUAUUGGACAAUGGGCCACAAGCCUGAUCCAGCAAUUCUGUGUGCACGAUGAAGGUCUUCGGAUUGUAAAGUGCUUUCAGUUGGGAAGAAGAAAGUGACGGUACCAACAGAAGAAGCGACGGCUAAAUACGUGCCAGCAGCCGCGGUAAUACUGUCG